This 254-nucleotide ribosomal RNA is filed under the name uncultured bacterium. Its description in RNAcentral is "partial 16S ribosomal RNA". It matches the Rfam family "Bacterial small subunit ribosomal RNA", at positions 524 to 776 of the family's 1533-position model. The record is from RNAcentral.
UACAGAGGGUGCGAGCGUUGUCCGGAAUCACUGGGCGUAAAGGGCGCGUAGGUGGUGGCUUAAGCGUGCGGUGAAAGCUCGGAGCUCAACUCCGAGUCGGCCGUGCGAACUGGGCUCACUGGAGCAUAGUAGAGGCAGGUGGAAUUCCGGGUGUAGCGGUGGAAUGCGUAGAGAUCCGGAAGAACACCGGUGGCGAAGGCGGCCUGCUGGGCUAUGGCUGACACUGAGGCACGAAAGCGUGGGUAGCAAACAGG